RNAcentral lists this ribosomal RNA (490 nucleotides) under Streptococcus gordonii. RNAcentral's name for it is "bacterial SSU rRNA". It matches the Rfam family "Bacterial small subunit ribosomal RNA", at positions 28 to 492 of the family's 1533-position model. The record is from RNAcentral. Lineage: Bacteria; Bacillati; Bacillota; Bacilli; Lactobacillales; Streptococcaceae.
GACGAACGCUGGCGGCGUGCCUAAUACAUGCAAGUAGAACGCACAGUUUAUACCGUAGCUUGCUACACCAUAGACUGUGAGUUGCGAACGGGUGAGUAACGCGUAGGUAACCUGCCUGGUAGCGGGGGAUAACUAUUGGAAACGAUAGCUAAUACCGCAUAAUAUUAAUUAUUGCAUGAUAAUUAAUUGAAAGGUGCAAUUGCACCACUACCAGAUGGACCUGCGUUGUAUUAGCUAGUAGGUGAGGUAACGGCUCACCUAGGCGACGAUACAUAGCCGACCUGAGAGGGUGAUCGGCCACACUGGGACUGAGACACGGCCCAGACUCCUACGGGAGGCAGCAGUAGGGAAUCUUCGGCAAUGGACGAAAGUCUGACCGAGCAACGCCGCGUGAGUGAAGAAGGUUUUCGGAUCGUAAAGCUCUGUUGUAAGAGAAGAACGGGUGUGAGAGUGGAAAGUUCACACUGUGACGGUAUCUUACCAGAAAGGA